GCCUUCUUAGCUCAGAUGGUAGAGUGUUCCACUCGUAUGUAUUGACCGAAAUUCAAAGUGGUAAUGGAAAGGUCGCUAGUUCGAUUCUGGCAGGAGGCA
This is a non-coding RNA of Gymnopus androsaceus JB14, 99 nucleotides long. The record is from the annotation of a GenBank genome assembly. Lineage: Eukaryota; Fungi; Basidiomycota; Agaricomycetes; Agaricales; Omphalotaceae.